GGAUCGAUGAUGACCCCCACUAAUGCAUUCCUUGGAAAUCUGAACCAAAUGAGUGAGAAACCACUACCGUCUCCUCAUUGGAACUGAGGUCC
Phocoena sinus (vaquita) is the source of this 92-nucleotide small nucleolar RNA. Its record names the gene SNORD116. It matches the Rfam family "Small nucleolar RNA SNORD116". From Rfam's summary of the family: HBII-85 is a member of the C/D class of snoRNAs, which contain the C (UGAUGA) and D (CUGA) box motifs. HBII-85 is encoded in a tandemly repeated array with another C/D snoRNA, HBII-52, in the Prader-Willi syndrome (PWS) region of chromosome 15. The record is from Ensembl. NCBI's taxonomy places the organism in Eukaryota, Metazoa, Chordata, Mammalia, Artiodactyla, Phocoenidae.